RNAcentral lists this long non-coding RNA (692 nucleotides) under Volvox carteri. RNAcentral describes it as "long non-coding RNA (VCAR_LNC001985)". The record is from RNAcentral. Lineage: Eukaryota; Viridiplantae; Chlorophyta; Chlorophyceae; Chlamydomonadales; Volvocaceae.
CCUGUUAAGACCAGCAAAGCGCCGGACCCCCGUUGGGUCCUAUUACUGUGGCUACCAUUCACUGGUAUAUGAGUGUCGGUCAUUUCCAACAGGCCCCCACACUUGACAACCAUACAACAGUAUUGCUCGUACCUGCCUAUCGAAACACCUCAUCCUCACAUCUGGGGCGAACAACUUUAGCAUAUCUAAUUUUGCACUCAACGCGAACAUAGCUGCUCUAGCUGUGUCAUACAACUGCUGACGGCAAGCCCAGAACUGCCGUUCCGGACCAUAUACACUAACCCCAGAUAUCGUGCACUAUCCUUAGCCGGUAUGGCCUCUCCAGCCAGCCUGAGCUCAUCACACGAUGCUUGGACAGCACUUCUGUUGAAGGGCGGUCCUAUCCCAACGUAGAUAGGUGGUAGUUAGGCGAUGAAUCCGCUGUGAUAGGCGAUGCCUCGGACGUGCGUCGACCUUGCCUCGGCCGUGCCUCGACCUUGCCUCGGCCAUGCCUCGACCUUGCCUCGGGUCUCUCGGCCGCGUAUCUCGGACGUGUCCUCAGGUCCAGGGAUGGUGGACGACAGUACGAUACUUCCAUUGGUAUCGGUACAUAAGACCAGAGUGGUGCAUGUCUUUCUAUCUCAUCUUAGGAUGGAUCGGUAUUCCUUCAAAGAAAUCUCCUAAAGUCUUCUUGCCGUUCACCACUAACCCAC